AGCGAACGCUGGCGGCAGGCUUAACACAUGCAAGUCGAACGGACACUUCGGUGAGAGUGGCCGAAGGGUGAGUAACACGUGGGAACGUACCUUUCGGUUCGGAAUCAUCUAGGGAAAGUUGGACUAAUACCGGAUACGCACUUCGGGGGAAAGAUUCAUCGCCGAUAGAUCGGCCCGCGUCUGAUUAGCUAGUUGGUGAGGUAAUGGCUCACCAAGGCGAGGUUCAGUAGCUGGUCUGAGAGGAUGAUCCGCGACAUCGGGACUGAGACACGGCCCAGAAUACUAGGCGAUGCAGGAGAGGGGAAUAUAGGACAAUGGGGGCAAGCCUGAUCCAGCCAGGCCGGGUGAGUGAUGAAGGCCUUAGGGUUGUAAAGCUCUUUUGUCCGGGAAGAUAAUGACUGUACCGGAAGAAUAAGCCCCGGCUAACUUCGUG
RNAcentral lists this ribosomal RNA (433 nucleotides) under uncultured bacterium. Its description in RNAcentral is "partial 16S ribosomal RNA". It matches the Rfam family "Bacterial small subunit ribosomal RNA", at positions 29 to 507 of the family's 1533-position model. The record is from RNAcentral.